RNAcentral lists this ribosomal RNA (465 nucleotides) under Vreelandella stevensii. RNAcentral describes it as "partial 16S ribosomal RNA". It matches the Rfam family "Bacterial small subunit ribosomal RNA", at positions 338 to 795 of the family's 1533-position model. The record is from RNAcentral. Lineage: Bacteria; Pseudomonadati; Pseudomonadota; Gammaproteobacteria; Oceanospirillales; Halomonadaceae.
CCUACGGGUGGCUGCAGUGGGGAAUAUUGGACAAUGGACGAAAGCCUGAUCCAGCCAUGCCGCGUGUGUGAAGAAGGCCUUCGGGUUGUAAAGCACUUUCAGUGGGGAAGAAAGCCUUGGGGCUAAUACCCUCGAGGAAGGACAUCACCCACAGAAGAAGCACCGGCUAACUCCGUGCCAGCAGCCGCGGUAAUACGGAGGGUGCGAGCGUUAAUCGGAAUUACUGGGCGUAAAGCGCGCGUAGGCGGUCUGAUAAGCCGGUUGUGAAAGCCCCGGGCUCAACCUGGGAACGGCAUCCGGAACUGUCAGGCUAGAGUGCAGGAGAGGAAGGUAGAAUUCCCGGUGUAGCGGUGAAAUGCGUAGAGAUCGGGAGGAAUACCAGUGGCGAAGGCGGCCUUCUGGACUGACACUGACGCUGAGGUGCGAAAGCGUGGGUAGCAAACAGGAUUAGAUACCCUGGUAGUC